This 69-nucleotide transfer RNA is filed under the name Tomoxia bucephala. Its description in RNAcentral is "tRNA-Met". Lineage: Eukaryota; Metazoa; Arthropoda; Insecta; Coleoptera; Mordellidae. The record is from RNAcentral.
AAAAAGGUAAGCUAACUAAGCUAAUAGGUUCAUACCCUGUACAUAAAAGUAAUAAUCUUUUCCUUUUUA